GUUUAGGGUUAGGGCCAAACCGAAUCUGAGAAUAAAAUAAUAAUAAACCGAUUAGCCCGAACCGAUUAGCCCGAUAACCCGACAGGGCUAGCCCGAAACCGAGUGGGCUGGCCCGAUUGACAUCCCUAAUUUAGCUCCAUCUUCU
Long non-coding RNA from Ipomoea nil (Japanese morning glory), 145 nucleotides. RefSeq lists it as uncharacterized. NCBI's taxonomy places the organism in Eukaryota, Viridiplantae, Streptophyta, Magnoliopsida, Solanales, Convolvulaceae. The record is from RefSeq and is a predicted model, not a curated record. The transcript is spliced from 3 exons.